CCUACGGGUGGCAGCAGUGAGGAAUAUUGGUCAAUGGUCGGGAGACUGAACCAGCCAAGCCGCGUGAGGGAAGAAGGUACAGAGUAUCGUAAACCUCUUUUGUCAGGGAACAAAGGCGGGGACGUGUCCCCGGAUGAGUGUACCUGAAGAAAAAGCAUCGGCUAACUCCGUGCCAGCAGCCGCGGUAAUACGGAGGAUUCGAGCGUUAUCCGGGUUUAUGGGGUUUAAGGGGUGCGGAGGCGGGCUGUUAAGUCAGCGGUGAAAGCCCGGGGCUGAACCCCGGCCCGGCGGUGGAGAUUGGCAGGCUCGAGUGGGAGAGAGGUAUGCGGAAUGCGCGGUGUAGCGGUGAAAUGCAUAGAGAUCGCGCAGAACUCCGAUUGCGAAGGCAGCAUGCCGGCUCCACACUGACGCUGAGGCACGAAAGCGUGGGUAUCGAACAGGAUUAGAUACCCGGGUAGUC
This 460-nucleotide ribosomal RNA is filed under the name uncultured bacterium. RNAcentral's name for it is "partial 16S ribosomal RNA". It matches the Rfam family "Bacterial small subunit ribosomal RNA", at positions 338 to 795 of the family's 1533-position model. The record is from RNAcentral.